This 497-nucleotide ribosomal RNA is filed under the name uncultured bacterium. RNAcentral describes it as "partial 16S ribosomal RNA". It matches the Rfam family "Bacterial small subunit ribosomal RNA", at positions 28 to 507 of the family's 1533-position model. The record is from RNAcentral.
GACGAACGCUGGCGGCGUGCCUAAUACAUGCAAGUAGAACGCUGAAACUUGGUGCUUGCACCGAGCGGAUGAGUUGCGAACGGGUGAGUAACGCGUAGGUAACCUGCCUGGCAGCGGGGGAUAACUAUUGGAAACGAUAGCUAAUACCGCAUAAGAGUAGAUGUUGCAUGACAUUUGCUUAAAAGGUGCAAUUGCACCACUACCAGAUGGACCUGCGUUGUAUUAGCUAGUUGGUGGGGUAACGGCUCACCAAGGCGACGAUACAUAGCCGACCUGAGAGGGUGAUCGGCCACACUGGGACUGAGACACGGCCCAGACUCCUACGGGAGGCAGCAGUAGGGAAUCUUCGGCAAUGGACGGAAGUCUGACCGAGCAACGCCGCGUGAGUGAAGAAGGUUUUCGGAUCGUAAAGCUCUGUUGUAAGAGAAGAACGAGUGUGAGAGUGGAAAGUUCACACUGUGACGGUAUCUUACCAGAAAGGGACGGCUAACUACGUG